RNAcentral lists this ribosomal RNA (253 nucleotides) under uncultured bacterium. RNAcentral's name for it is "partial 16S ribosomal RNA". It matches the Rfam family "Bacterial small subunit ribosomal RNA", at positions 524 to 776 of the family's 1533-position model. The record is from RNAcentral.
AACGUAGGUUCCGAGCGUUAUCCGGAUUUACUGGGCGUAAAGGAUGCGUAGGCGGACAUUUAAGUCAGAUGUGAAAUACCCGAGCUUAACUUGGGUGCUGCAUUUGAAACUGGGUGUCUAGAGUGCAGGAGAGGUAAGUGGAAUUCCUAGUGUAGCGGUGAAAUGCGUAGAGAUUAGGAAGAACACCAGUGGCGAAGGCGACUUACUGGACUGUAACUGACGCUGAGGCAUGAAAGCGUGGGGAGCAAACAGG